Long non-coding RNA from Mus musculus (house mouse), 3914 nucleotides. RefSeq annotates it as RIKEN cDNA 6530403H02 gene. NCBI's taxonomy places the organism in Eukaryota, Metazoa, Chordata, Mammalia, Rodentia, Muridae. The transcript is spliced from 19 exons. The record is from RefSeq and is marked validated.
AGCUCCUGCUGCGGUGGCAGACAUGGGAGAGACACGCAAGCUGCAAAGGGAAGCAGAGUCAAAUUAAAGCCUCCCAACCACGGCUCGUGGUGCUGCGGAUGGGGCGUCCCUCCCUCCCUCCCUCGGCUUGAUGAAGGUGGGUGUGAGAUCCCACAGGACUGUCUGGAAGAGAGCCCGUGGAAGUCACUGUAUUUUGCAGAAGCUGGAGGCGAAGCAGAAGGUUGCAGCCUGACACUUCUGCCUCUUUUCCCUCUGGGUAUAUCUUACUGGGUCUUUGCAGGUCAUGGCUGGACUGUUGUGGUGGGGUAACUGAAACAAACCGAAGAGACUGAUGGAAAAAAAAUCAAAAAGCAAGGGCGGAAUUUCAAAGCCUGGAUCAUAGAAGAAGGAAUGCUGCAUGACAAAAACUGCUGAGGCAGAGCUGAGAACAGAAAUCCAGAGGAGAGACAGUGCCCUUACGCAAUGUUCCAAGUGAGUGCAGAGAAGAGAAAUUGACCAACACCUUUCUGUUCAAGAAUAACCGCAUAUGACAUGACUCCAAGGGGGAAAAUAGAACAAGGCUACGGUGGCCGAGGAAUUCAAGACAGCAGCUGGAAAAGAACUGUUUUGAAAGCCCAGUGGUGUUUCACCCCAUCUCUGUAAUGGUGGGGACAUCACAUUUACAUAUUUUGCAGGAAUGCAUUGCCUCUCUCUUUGAGUAUUUUCAUUCCCAAGUUCUACAUGAGGUGAUCCCUAAAAGCAUACUGCACAAGUGAAGGGAUUGACAUCACAAGGCUUUCCACACUUCUGGUGCCAGAUGUCCACAUAGCUGCAAUCCACCUAUUCUUCUUCCUGGAAAACUUCAAACCAGUUAUUCAUUCAAGGAUAGAAACACGAAGCUGCUGCAUCAAGAAGCAAAUUCCGGAGUGGAAUUGUGGGCUCCUUGUACCUAAGCUCCAUGUACCUACCUUCACUUGUGGGCCCAGGCCAACGAGAAAGUACAUCCAACUCUCUAAUGCUAAUAACAUACUGUCCAGGCUAGACAAGGUUAUUCUCUAAAAGGAAUGGUUUGUUCGAAUAAAUGUCUACCUAAUUAUACUGUCACGAAGAGCAUCAGACUUCAAAAAAUAUCCCGAAUUAACUAGUACAGAAAACUCUCCUUGUUCCUCAGUACACAGACAAAAUGGAAUAUCAGAAUCGAUCCUCUCUAAGAACACAGUAUUUGACAUGAGUGAUUUUCCUGAAGAUUCUCAGGGAAUACUAGAAAUGGAGAUCCCCUGGGCUUCUUAUCUAGAGACUUUCUGGCUGCAAUGAGUUGAAAAGUUCAAUUAGUGAUGUCUGUGUGAACCGGGUUGUAGGGUCAUCCACUGGAGAAUGGAUAACAUGUAGCAACAACUGGCUACUGCCCCAAAGAAAAUGACUCUCCACCAGCAGCCAUCAACUGUCAAUGAAGCCUCAGCUAAGGGUAUUUUCUUCAUUUACAUUUCAAACAACAUCCCAAAAGUCCCCUAUACCCUCCUCUGCCCUGCUCCCCUACCCACUCACUCCCAUCUCCUGGCCCUGGCACUCCCCUGUACUGGGGCAUACAAAGUUUGCUAGACCAAGGGGCCUCUCCUCCCUGUGCUGUAAGAUCAAGAGUCGACAAAUGGGACCUCAUAAAAUUGCAAAGCUUCUGUAGGGAAAAAGAUACUGUCAUUAAGACACAAAGGCCACCAACAGAUUGGAAAAGAAUAUUUACCAAUCCUAAAUAUGAUCGGAGACUAAUAUCCAAUAUAUACAAAGAGCUCAAGAAGCUGAACUUUAGAAAUUCAAAUAACCCCAUUAAAAAUGGGGUACAGAGCUAAACAAAGAAAUCUCAACUGAGGAAUACCAAAGGACUGAGAAGCACUUGAAAAAAUGUUCAACAUCCUUAAUCAUCAGGGAAAUGCAAAUCAAAACAACCCUGAGAUUCCACCUCAUAUCCGUCAGAAUGGCUAGAAUCAAAAAUUCAGGUGAUUACAGAUGCUCCUCCAUUGCUGGUGGGAUUGCAAGCUUGUACAACCACUCUGGAAAUCAGUCUGGCGGUUCCUCAGAAAACUGGACAUAGUACUACCAGAAGAUCCAGCAAUACCUCUCUCCUGGGCAUAUACCCAGAAGAUGUUCCAACUGGUAAUAAGGACACAUGCUCCACUAUGUUCAUAGCAGCCUUAUUUAUAAUAGCCAGAAGCUGGAAAGAACCCAGAUGCCCCUCAACAGAGGAAUGGAUACAGAAAAUGUGGUACAUUUACACAAUGGAGUACUACUCAGCUAUUAAAAACAACGAAUUUAUGAAAUUCUUGGGCAAAUGGAUGGAUCUGGAGGAUAUCAUCCUGAGUGAGCCUUUCCAGAGCUAGAAGUUUCUUUGUGAUCCCAUGCUCCUUACUGGUGUCUUCCUGGUUGGGAUGCCUAGGAAUCUCACACAAUCAAAUACGCAAGCAAAAAAGAAGUCUCAUCUGCUUAGGAAAAGUUACCUAAGGAUGGAAGUCCCAGCCUGAAUGUGGACAGCACCACCCAGUGAGCUGUAUCAUUGCAUGAGCACUCACAUCCACAUAUCUUUGCUUCUUAAGUGAAGAUGUAAUGUGAUCAGGCACAUCACAUCACAGCUGCUGAACCUUCUCUAUUCUGAUGGACUGUAUCCCCUCCAACCUUGAGCCAAAAUAAUCCCUCUAUCUUGAAGUUGCUUUUGUCAGUCAUUGUGUUACAGCAAGGGAGAUGUUAUAACUACUCCAUAUUACACAAAAUGUGAUGCAUAAAAAUUAUGCGUGAACAAGUCCUCUAGGUUUUAGAUAAUGUAUCGUAACAACUGGAAGGCGGUGCAUUCUAACGUGAUAAUGAAAAGGUUUUCUCUUCAAUCAAGCUCUUCCACCAUCCACAGCGUUGCUAGAAGGCAGCUCUGGACUAGGGCCUAUUCAAGGUAGCCACACCUCUUCUGACAUGAGGCCUUGUGAUGAUGUUCAGCCUUUCCACUAUCCAAAGAGCACUGAGUCAAGCAAGAAUGGACGACAAGUCUGGAACUAUGAGCCCAAACCUGCUUUUACAUUGAUGGUUGUGGUGAAGAAAAGUGGGGAUUCACAUAAGUGGCGUGGAUCGCAAAGUCACUGAAAAGAAACAGGUGGUCAAAAGGAGCAACAUGGAAGGCAAAUGAAGAAUCUUCCAGUCUCCGUACCGAGAUCUUCCUUUGGUCACUGAGGAAGAGCUUCGCUUAAGCCGAUUAUAUACUGCUCCUUUUGAAUCAACUCUAUUGAGAGAGACUUGACUUUUAAAAUACUCCUCAUAUUCACUUUAUGUGCACGAGUGCUUUGCUUAGAUGUGUGUUUGUGCACCAUGUGUGUCUAGUGCCAGCAGAAGCCAGAAGAGGGUAUCAGGUUCCCUGGAAACUGGAGUUCCAGGUGGUUGUAAGCCACCACAUGGGUGCUGAGAAUCGAACUUCUCUCUCUUGUAUGGUCAGCAAAUGUUCUUAAUUGCUGAGCCAUGAGAUAUAACUUCCGAAAAAGUAAAAUAUACUUUGCUAAUUGCACACUCUGAAAAUGUUGACAAAGACAUUCCGAUGUAUACCUUCUCCUAUCACAAUCCAGGUAAGGAUUAUUUUUACUGCCCCAACAUAUGCAUUUGUGACUCUACCCAGGCGGUUCCUUUCAUCUUUCUUGGCUCAGGAAUCCAGGGUACUCAGCCACAUUUUAUAUGUAAAGAGUUCAUCAAAAAUAGAAUUAUACAAUGCGUUCUUCCCGUAUAUCUGGAUUAUUUUGGCCUGGAGCCAUCCCAAUGGAUACGGUUUUCAUUUAUGUUAACCUAUGACAGCUGAUACUGAACAGUUUAUGAUAUUGGCUCCUUUUCAUCUUUUCUGUGAUUUAUCUGUUCAGAUGUCUGUCCAAUUGUCAUCAUGUUAUUUCUUUCAAAUUAUAGAAUUGUAACAGUUC